CCUACGGGAGGCAGCAGUGAGGAAUAGUGGUCAAUGGACGAGAGUCUGAACCAGCCAAGUAGCGUGAAGGAUGACUGCCCUAUGGGUUGUAAACUUCUUUUAUAUGGGAAUAAAAUGUUCCACGUGUGGGAUGUUGUAUGUAACAUAUGAAUAAGGAUCGGCUAACUCCGUGCCAGCAGCCGCGGUAAUACGGAGCCACCGUGCGUUAUCCGGAUGGAUGGGGGUUAACGGGAGCGUAGGUGGAUUCUUACGUGAGUUGUGACAGUUUGCGGCGCAACCGUAAAAUUGCAGUUGAAACUGGCAGUCUUGAGUACAGUAGAGGUGGGCGGAAUUCGUGGUGUAGCCGU
Molecule: ribosomal RNA, 347 nt
Filed under: uncultured bacterium
Lineage: Bacteria
Description: partial 16S ribosomal RNA
Rfam family: Bacterial small subunit ribosomal RNA
Source: RNAcentral